AAAUAAAGGUGGUAGAGGGGGGAGGGGGUCCCAUCCACGAAUCAAAAGCACUUUGAUACAAGUUCAAAAAGUUUUAGAGAUACGGCUUAUUCUGGUCCCCAUUAUUAAUGAUUGAUUUUUGAAUCUUUGAUAUAAUUCAUUCGGUUUCUUUUCUUUUUGACUCUUUUUCCAAACCAUACCAUUCAUUACUUUUGCAUUUAAGUUCAUAAGAAUCUUACCAAAAUUUUGCAGAAUACCUCCGACUUAUUUUAUAUUGCACUACAAU
Molecule: long non-coding RNA, 265 nt
Filed under: Carica papaya (papaya)
Lineage: Eukaryota; Viridiplantae; Streptophyta; Magnoliopsida; Brassicales; Caricaceae
Description: long non-coding RNA (CPAP_LNC012302)
Source: RNAcentral